UCCACUCCCUGUGUUAGAGACUUGUCCAGCUGUGGCCAUACGCCACUUGUUGGAUCUCUUGUACAAAAUGAUUUGCCUUAAAGAUGAGCCACUGCCUCCUUACGAGGCCUACAGCAGAAUGUCAAUCGACGAGAUGGCCACUGUUGCCUGGGAUCAGUUGAAAAAUGAUGGUUCUGGCAUCUUUGCUCCUAUAAUAAGCUCCGUGGACCGAAUCAUAACUGUGUCUAAAAGACUUGGGAUUUCGACGUACCUAAGGAAGGUUUUCGAAGAAGAUGAAGCUUUCAGUCCCACAGCGACGCAGCUCCGACGUGUUGGUGUGGAAUUCUGCAUCACAAGAGGCGGUAUCAGGAAUAUUAGUUUCGAUCAGGAUGACAAAAGCUUUAAGUUUAACCUUCCAGUAUUUACUUGGAAGCCGAAUUGUGAAGUGGUAAUGAGAAACCUGCUGGCAUACGAAGCCAUGGCAAAGUCAGAGCCCCCGAUUCUUACUCGUUACACCCAAUUGAUGAGUGGGAUUGUACGCACUGUAGAGGACGUGAAAUUGCUCAAAGACAAGAAGAUCAUUGUUACUGUAGAUGAACAACA
RNAcentral lists this long non-coding RNA (582 nucleotides) under Jatropha curcas. Its description in RNAcentral is "long non-coding RNA (JCUR_LNC001824)". Lineage: Eukaryota; Viridiplantae; Streptophyta; Magnoliopsida; Malpighiales; Euphorbiaceae. The record is from RNAcentral.